This 552-nucleotide long non-coding RNA is filed under the name Anas platyrhynchos platyrhynchos (common mallard). RNAcentral's name for it is "lncRNA (ENSAPLG00000027631.1)". The record is from RNAcentral. Lineage: Eukaryota; Metazoa; Chordata; Aves; Anseriformes; Anatidae.
CUGCUUGCCAGUACUGCAAGUGAACAAAUUAAGCAUAAUGCUUCCAAAUAGUUGCUAUUUUAAUCGAGAUCUUAAAAAAGAAAGGUAGCAGCAGUGGUUGUUGGAAGCAAAUUUUAACUUCACUAAUGGUAAAUUAUCUUUUAGGGAAAUAAAUCAUAUGCUUUGUAUGGGCGUACUCUAUGAAGGUUUACAUCUCUGUAUGUUCAUAGGCACAGGGCUAGUGUGUCAAGAGAAGUGUAUUAAGCUGAGGAACAUUCCUAGAAAUACAAGAGAAGCAAAAAACUGUUUUCAAACUUCUAUUGGAAGUAAAAGCUUGAAGAACAUUUGGGCUAGCAAGAAAGAACUAUGUAUGCAACCUUUGUCACUCUAAAUUGGAUAGAAUGAAACUUUAGCAGCACAAAAUCAUUGGUAAAUGCCCACUGUCACUCAAGUCUGCAGUGUCAAAAUCCAUCAGGAAAGGAGAAAAAGCUCUAUGUCCUAAACAUUUUAUUUGACGGUGUCCCCCUGAGAAAGCAGGACUCUGAAAUAAACAUUUGGUUUUGCCUGUCUGCA